UACGAAGGGUGCAAGCGUUAAUCGGAAUUACUGGGCGUAAAGCGCGCGUAGGUGGUUCAGCAAGUUGGAUGUGAAAUCCCCGGGCUCAACCUGGGAACUGCAUCCAAAACUACUGAGCGAGAGUACGGUAGAGGGUGGUGGAAGUUCCUGUGGAGCGGUGAAAUGCGUAGAUAGAGGAAGGAAAACCAGUGGCGAAGGCGGCCACCUGGACUGAUACUGACGCUGAGGUGCGAAAUCGUGGGGAGCCAACAGGAUUAGAUACCCCGGUAGUCC
RNAcentral lists this ribosomal RNA (273 nucleotides) under uncultured bacterium. Its description in RNAcentral is "partial 16S ribosomal RNA". It matches the Rfam family "Bacterial small subunit ribosomal RNA", at positions 524 to 796 of the family's 1533-position model. The record is from RNAcentral.